This is an RNA transcript of Pistacia vera, 2324 nucleotides long. It is a transcript of the gene named WD repeat-containing protein 70, with no coding region annotated. The record is from RefSeq and is a predicted model, not a curated record. NCBI's taxonomy places the organism in Eukaryota, Viridiplantae, Streptophyta, Magnoliopsida, Sapindales, Anacardiaceae. The transcript has 10 exons.
AAUAACCCACUCAUAAAUAUCACAACAUAGCCAAGAAUGGAAGACGAGGCAGAGAUAUACGACGGAAUCAGAGCUCAGUUCCCGCUCGCGUUUGGCAAACAAUCAAAACCCCAAACCUCUCUCGAAAAAGUCCACGACGCCACUCGCCGAUCGGAACAACCGCCUUCCACCACCACCACCAGCACAGCUGCCUCCAAGACUAAUGACCUACCGUCUCUCUCAUCCUCCCCCAGAGCUUGGCUUGACUCUCUCCGAAAACCUAAAGCUUCGGAGGCGCCAAAAGUUGGGCCCCCACCGCCUCCUGAGCCGCCGAAAGCGGAGGAAGAUGACGAUGACGUGAUGAUUGGGCCCCCACGGCCUCCUCAGCCUGUGGAAACGGAGGAUGAUGAUGGAGUUGUGAUGAUUGGGCCACCGCGGCCUCCCGUGGCAUCGGAGACGGACGAUGAAGAGGAGGAGGAAGAGGAAGGGGAGAAUCGGUAUCGGAUUCCGAUGAGUAACGAGAUUGUACUGAAGGGUCAUACUAAGGUUGUUUCAGCUCUUGCAGUUGAUCACUCUGGGUCUAGAGUUCUCUCCGGUAGUUAUGACUAUACGGUGCGAAUGUAUGACUUUCAAGGAAUGAAUUCCCGUUUACAAUCCUUUAGGCAACUUGAGCCAUUUGAAGGUCAUCAAGUUCGUAACUUAAGCUGGAGUCCUACGUCGGACCGUUUCCUCUGUGUAACUGGCUCUGCUCAAGCUAAGAUUUAUGACCGAGAUGGGCUCACCCUAGGUGAGUUUGUGAAGGGUGAUAUGUAUAUUCGUGAUCUGAAAAACACCAAGGGACACAUUUGCGGAUUAACGUCUGGAGAGUGGCAUCCUAAAAAUAAAGAGACGAUUUUGACGUCAUCCGAGGAUGGAUCUCUUCGUCUAUGGGAUGUGAAUGAUUUCAAAAGUCAGAAGCAGGUUAUCAAACCAAAGCUUUCAAGGCCUGGAAGAGUUCCGGUUACCACAUGUGCUUGGAACCGUGAAGGAAAAUGCAUUGCAGGUGGUGUUGGAGAUGGUUCUAUACAGCUAUGGAACCUUAAGCCUGGAUGGGGAAGCAGGCCAGAUAUAUAUGUUGAGAAAGCCCAUUCUGAUGAUAUAACUGGGCUUAAGUUUUCUAGUGAUGGGCGAAUUCUGCUGUCCAGAAGCUUUGAUGGUUCAUUGAAGGUUUGGGAUUUGCGCCAAAUGAAAAAGCCUUUGAAGGUGUUUGAGGAUCUUCCGAAUCACUAUGCCCAAACAAAUAUUGCAUUUAGUCCUGACGAACAACUUAUAUUGACUGGUACAUCUGUUGAAAGGGAGAGCACAACUGGAGGAUUGCUAUGUUUCUUUGAUCGAGCAAAACUUGAACUUGUUUCAAGAGUUGGAAUAUCACCGACUUGUAGUGUAGUGCAAUGUAUUUGGCACCCAAAGCUGAAUCAGGUCUUUGCAACAGCUGGAGAUAAGAGCCAAGGAGGAACUCACAUAUUAUAUGACCCCACCCUCAGUGAGCGAGGAGCUCUUGUCUGUGUUGCACGAGCACCAAGGAAAAAAUCUGUUGAUGAUUUUGAGAUACAACCUGUGAUUCACAAUCCACAUGCAUUGCCCUUAUUCAGAGAUCAGCCAAGUCGUAAGCGUCAGCGAGAGAAAACAUUGAAGGACCCUAUUAAGUCCCAUAAGCCUGAGCUUCCCAUUACAGGACCUGGUUAUGGUGGAAGAGUUGGUGCAAGUAAGGGAAGCUUAUUGACCCAGUACCUUAUGAAGCAAGGGGGAAUGAUCAAGGAGACAUGGAUGGAGGAGGAUCCUAGAGAAGCUAUACUAAAGUAUGCUGAUGCUGCAGCGAAAGAACCUAAAUUCAUUGCUCCAGCAUAUGCAGCAACCCAGCCUGAAACAGUUUUUGCAAAGUCUGAUUCUGAGGACGAAGAGAAAUGAUCCCAUUGUGCUGGUUUUAAGUAUAUGCUACCUUAAAAUCACCUCGAGUUUAAUUUGAGCACCCAAGGAAUACAUUGAACUAAGCGUGGUUAUGCUGAAGUAAUGAGGAAGCUUGCAUAGGAUUGCUCUUAGUGGGUGCCAUUUGCAGUCGGAAUAUCUGUGCAUCUAAAGCCAUAAACAAUUUCAACUUCUCCUUGUCCAAGAUUUUAUUGUUCUAUUUAGUAGUGAAUUGAUGUUCGAUAAUAUAUUGUAUAAUGUCUGAGAUUAGAUAUUGUAAGAAAUUGCGUUCAGGUUUGAAACCCCAAUUAAUGGGAUCAUAGGUUGUCUGAAAACUAAACAGUGGGUUUCAAUGCAUUUUCAUUUACAACACUUGAUGUUAAAUUCAAGCUAAAACGGUU